Molecule: long non-coding RNA, 211 nt
Filed under: Elaeis guineensis (African oil palm)
Lineage: Eukaryota; Viridiplantae; Streptophyta; Magnoliopsida; Arecales; Arecaceae
Description: long non-coding RNA (EGUI_LNC002081)
Source: RNAcentral
CGAGAUCGAGGAUCUAAAGGUCCAGUUCGGCCCGGAUGCCUUCAUCAAGGGUUUCAAACUCUGUCAAGAGAAGGUGGCUGGGAGGUUUUCCGAAUUGGAUCUCGACUUCCUGAACGAGGCAUCCGACGAUGAAGCCGGACCAUCCGAAGCCGCUGCCGGUCCUCCUCCAAUCGAGACCUCAUCGACCACCGCGGUCACCACCGACGAUCUU